This 476-nucleotide long non-coding RNA is filed under the name Mytilus galloprovincialis (Mediterranean mussel). The record is from RNAcentral. Lineage: Eukaryota; Metazoa; Mollusca; Bivalvia; Mytilida; Mytilidae.
CUGAUGAAUGGAACACAUUCCAAAAAAAAUUAUAAGGAACUGUUGUAAUGUUCGAAAUGAAUUAGCGACCAAGAUUGAACAAAAUAAUGGCACUUAGCUUAUAAAUAUAAUUCACGUAGAACGAUUGUUUGACAGUACUGCAUUAAUAUCUUUUAUUUUCUUGUCUGUUCUAUGUUUUCUAUUCCAUAAGAUAGGCAUCCGACCCUACCUAUAAUUUUCACAUGUACAGUAAGUUAUUAUAUGUAGUCCUGUCGCAGUAUAAGGUUUCAAAACCUAAGAUGAACUUUGUGAAAAAUAUCUUUUUAUUUAUAAUAGACUUAUAUAAUUUUGCAAUUUGCUAAUUUCCUUCGAUUACAAAAAACUUCGAUCUCCUUUUCGGUUCUUUUCGGUCCUUUUCGGUUCUUUUUGGUCCUUUUCGGUCCUUUUCGGUUCUUUUCUGUAAAUCGUCGCUCUUUUCUGUAAGUCGUCGAACCCGU